UUCUCUUUUUCUCCUCUUUCUCCUCACUUAUCUAUCUUUUUCUCUCUUUCUUUCUCUUUUCAAAUCAAAGAUGGUCAAGAACCAAGACGAAAAAGACCACUACUUUUUGGAUGCUUAUGU
RNAcentral lists this non-coding RNA (120 nucleotides) under Paramoeba aestuarina. The record is from RNAcentral. Lineage: Eukaryota; Discosea; Flabellinia; Dactylopodida; Paramoebidae.